This 307-nucleotide ribosomal RNA is filed under the name uncultured bacterium. Its description in RNAcentral is "partial 16S ribosomal RNA". It matches the Rfam family "Bacterial small subunit ribosomal RNA", at positions 506 to 807 of the family's 1533-position model. The record is from RNAcentral.
AGACAGCAGCAGCCGCGGGAAAACAGAGGGUGCGAGCGUUAAUCGGAUUUACUGGGCGUAAAGCGUGCGUAGGCGGCUAAUUGAGUCGGAUGUGAAAUCCCCGAGCUUAACUUGGGAAUUGCAUUCGAUACUGGUUAGCUAGAGUGUGGGAGAGGAUGGUAGAAUUCCAGGUGUAGCGGUGAAAUGCGUAGAGAUCUGGAGGAAUACCGAUGGCGAAGGCAGCCAUCUGGCCUAACACUGACGCUGAGGUACGAAAGCAUGGGGAGCAAACAGGAUUAGAUACCCCCGUAGUCCCUGUCUCUUAUAC